Caenorhabditis elegans is the source of this 225-nucleotide non-coding RNA. Lineage: Eukaryota; Metazoa; Nematoda; Chromadorea; Rhabditida; Rhabditidae. The record is from Ensembl.
GUUAAAAAGUGCAAAACUCGGAAAUCCAAAAGGAGCGGUCAAAGUAGUUUCAAGGUCAAGAUGAGGUUGGAACCGAGGUUCCUAAAGAAAACACACACACACACACAUUGGAGACCAUGAAACUCGGACCGAGCCCAAAUGUUUAAACAUAAACUAACCCUAUAUACACUUGCAUAGGAAAGUGCCCGACAUUUUCCGAGUUUGGCCUUCUACUAUAUAUUGUGU